AGAGUUUGAUCCUGGUUCAGAUUGAGCGCUGGCGGCAUGCCUUACACAUGCAAGUCGAACGGCAGCACGGGGGCAACCCUGGUGGCGAGUGGCGAACGGGUGAGUAAUACAUCGGAACGUGUCCUGGAGUGGGGGAUAGCCCGGCGAAAGCCGGAUUAAUGCCGCAUACGCUCUGAGGAGGAAAGGGGGGGAUCUUAGGACCUCUCGCUCAAGGGGCGGCCGAUGGCAGAUUAGCUAGUUGGUGGGGUAAAGGCCUACCAAGGCGACGAUCUGUAGCUGGUCUGAGAGGACGACCAGCCACACUGGGACUGAGACACGGCCCAGACUCCUACGGGAGGCAGCAGUGGGGAAUUUUGGACAAUGGGCGCAAGCCUGAUCCAGCAAUGCCGCGUGUGUGAAGAAGGCCUUCGGGUUGUAAAGCACUUUUGUCCGGAAAGAAAACCUUUGCCCUAAUACGGCGGGGGGAUGACGGUACCGGAAGAAUAAGCACCGGCUAACUACGUGCCAGCAGCCGCGGUAAUACGUAGGGUGCAAGCGUUAAUCGGAAUUACUGGGCGUAAAGCGUGCGCAGGCGGUUCGCUAAGACAGAUGUGAAAUCCCCGGGCUUAACCUGGGAACUGCAUUUGUGACUGGCGGGCUAGAGUAUGGCAGAGGGGGGUAGAAUUCCACGUGUAGCAGUGAAAUGCGUAGAGAUGUGGAGGAAUACCGAUGGCGAAGGCAGCCCCCUGGGCCAAUACUGACGCUCAUGCACGAAAGCGUGGGGAGCAAACAGGAUUAGAUACCCUGGUAGUCCACGCCCUAAACGAUGUCAACUAGUUGUCGGGUCUUCAUUGACUUGGUAACGUAGCUAACGCGUGAAGUUGACCGCCUGGGGAGUACGGUCGCAAGAUUAAAACUCAACACACGUCAUACAAUGGUCGGAACAGAGGGUCGCCAACCCGCGAGGGGGAAGCCAAUCCCAGAAAACCGAUCGUAGUCCGGAUCGCACUCUGCAACUCGAGUGCGUGAAGCUGGGAAAUCCUUUUUAGUAAUCGCGGAUCAGCAUGCCGCGGUGAAUACGUUCCCCGGGUCUUGUACACACCGCCCGUCACACCAUGGGAGUGGGUUUUACCAGAAGUGGCUAGUCUAACCGCAAGGAGGACGGUCACCACGGUAGGAUUCAUGACUGGGGUGAAGUCGUAACAAGGUAACCUCAGUCAGUCAA
RNAcentral lists this ribosomal RNA (1204 nucleotides) under uncultured bacterium. RNAcentral describes it as "partial 16S ribosomal RNA". It matches the Rfam family "Bacterial small subunit ribosomal RNA". The record is from RNAcentral.